UGGGGAAUAUUGGACAAUGGGCGAAAGCCUGAUCCAGCCAUGCCGCGUGUGUGAAGAAGGUCUUCGGAUUGUAAAGCACUUUAAGUUGGGAGGAAGGGCAGUAAAUUAAUACUUUGCUGUUUUGACGUUACCGACAGAAUAAGCACCGGCUAACUCUGUGCCAGCAGCCGCGGUAAUACAGAGGGUGCAAGCGUUAAUCGGAAUUACUGGGCGUAAAGCGCGCGUAGGUGGUUCGUUAAGUUGGAUGUGAAAUCCCCGGGCUCAACCUGGGAACUGCAUUCAAAACUGACGAGCUAGAGUAUGGUAGAGGGUGGUGGAAUUUCCUGUGUAGCGGUGAAAUGCGUAGAUAUAGGAAGGAACACCAGUGGCGAAGGCGACCACCUGGACUGAUACUGACACUGAGGUGCGAAAGCGUGGGGAGCAAACAGGAUUAGAUACCCCAGUAGUCCCUGAGCGGGCUGGCAAGGCGCAU
This 472-nucleotide ribosomal RNA is filed under the name uncultured bacterium. RNAcentral's name for it is "bacterial SSU rRNA". It matches the Rfam family "Bacterial small subunit ribosomal RNA", at positions 355 to 825 of the family's 1533-position model. The record is from RNAcentral.